Molecule: ribosomal RNA, 301 nt
Filed under: uncultured bacterium
Lineage: Bacteria
Description: partial 16S ribosomal RNA
Rfam family: Bacterial small subunit ribosomal RNA
Source: RNAcentral
CAGCCGCCACGGGAAUACGAAGGGUGCAAGCGUUAAUCGGAAUUACUGGGCGUAAAGCGCGCGUAGGUGGUUUGGUAAGAUGGAUGUGAAAUCCCCGGGCUCAACCUGGGAACUGCAUCCAUAACUGCCUGACUAGAGUACGGUAGAGGGUGGUGGAAUUUCCUGUGUAGCGGUGAAAUGCGUAGAUAUAGGAAGGAACACCAGUGGCGAAGGCGACCACCUGGACUGAUACUGACACUGAGGUGCGAAAGCGUGGGGAGCAAACAGGAUUAGAUACCCCCGUAGUCCCUGUCUCUUAUAC